CUUGGAGGUGGGGGGGGUCCCUCAGCUCAGAUUGCGAGAGGGCGCAGGCCAGGCCCAGGGACCCCACUGGUGCACG
Molecule: microRNA precursor, 76 nt
Filed under: Myotis davidii
Lineage: Eukaryota; Metazoa; Chordata; Mammalia; Chiroptera; Vespertilionidae
Description: mir-9193 microRNA precursor family
Rfam family: mir-9193 microRNA precursor family
Source: Rfam by way of RNAcentral